RNAcentral lists this ribosomal RNA (249 nucleotides) under uncultured bacterium. RNAcentral describes it as "partial 16S ribosomal RNA". It matches the Rfam family "Bacterial small subunit ribosomal RNA", at positions 523 to 769 of the family's 1533-position model. The record is from RNAcentral.
AUACGUAGGUGGCAAGCGUUGUCCGGAUUUAUUGGGGCGUAAAGCGAGCGCAGGCGGUUUUUUAAGUCUGAUGUGAAAGCCUUCGGCUCAAACCGAAGAAGUGCAUCGGAAACUGGGAAACUUGAGUGCAGAAGAGGACAGUGGAACUCCAUGUGUAGCGGUGAAAUGCGUAGAUAUAUGGAAGAACACCAGUGGCGAAGGCGGCUCUCUGGUCUGUAACUGACGCUGAGGCUCGAAAGCGUGGGUAGC